GAUAAACGCUGGCGGCGUGCAUAAGACAUGCAAGUCGAACGAAGGAUCGGGCUUGCUCGUUCCUUAGUGGCGGACGGCUGAGUAACGCGUAGGUGACCUACCCCGAACUGGGGGAUAACUGCCCGAAAGGGUGGCUAAUACCGCAUGUGGUCGCCCGCUCCUUCGUGGGGGUAAAGCAGCAGGGUGGGUCGGGGGGGGACUGCGUCCGUUUAGCCGGGUGGUGGGGUAAUGGCAUUCCAAGGCGACGAUCGGGAGGCGGUCGGAGAGGACGAUCACUCAGACUGGGACUGAGACACGGCCCAGACUCCUACGGGAGGCAGCAGUCGGGGAUUUUGCGCAAUGGGGGAAAUGCUGAAGCAGCAACGCCGGGUGAGGGAUGAAGGCCUUCGGGUUGUAAACCUCUUUUGUCAGGGACGAUGAUGACGGUACCUGGAGAAUAAGCCACGGCUAACUACGUG
This 458-nucleotide ribosomal RNA is filed under the name uncultured bacterium. RNAcentral describes it as "partial 16S ribosomal RNA". It matches the Rfam family "Bacterial small subunit ribosomal RNA", at positions 28 to 507 of the family's 1533-position model. The record is from RNAcentral.